Non-coding RNA from Ictidomys tridecemlineatus (thirteen-lined ground squirrel), 5998 nucleotides. Lineage: Eukaryota; Metazoa; Chordata; Mammalia; Rodentia; Sciuridae. The record is from RefSeq and is a predicted model, not a curated record.
CGCGGCGUCCCAGAGCCGCAGGGGCAGCUGUGAGCUUACCCUGAGGCCUGACCGCCACCUUCAAGAUGAGGAGUGUCAAGACAAGGUUACACAGACCUAAAGAGCUACUUGGCUUUUAUUGGAGUCCGAAAAUAAAAUGUGCAUUGGCAAUGAGCAGAGCAGAGGAGGUGGAAGAGAGCUCUGCUUACCGUGCUCCCUGCCAGAUAAGCACACAAGAUGAUCAACACUGGCAAACCAAGAGAGACCUUCACCAAAAACCUGAGGAUGUCUGCUCCUUGCUCUUGGGGUUCCUGCCUUCAGAAUUGUGAGAAAUAUAUGUUUUCUAUUUAAGCCACCCAGUCUCUGGUAUUAUAUUACUGAAAACUGAGCUAGUGAUACUGGUCCUUUAGAGAUCAGGAAUAGGUCCUUAUUCCCCAGAAGUUUAAAUACCCAAGAAAUGGUGAGUCUAUCAUAGAAAGCAAGUUUUAUUUAAGAAAGAGACAGAGACAGACUUCUCUGAAGAGAAGGGGCCCCAGAGCUGGUAUCCAUAGGAAGGGGUGCAUCUUGCUCUUUUAUAGACCUCAGAACCCCUCUUUUUGAUUUAUUAUCUUCUUUCUUCCUGAGAGCAGGGACAUGGAGGUUAAUUGUUAGCAACCCGAGUGCCCAGGAACAUGAUGGCAGAGGUUAACACUUCUCUGUUUGAUAGCCAGUCCUCAUCCUCUCUCCACCCCUUUCAUUCCUUACCUACACUGACUGCCUGACCUUCAACCCUGCCCCAGUUUGUUGAAGAAUUAACAUGUCCUGUCCACUCAGGCCAGGCAGGGCUACAGGCAAAUUGCUUUGGGGUAAAGGAAGCUUAUGAGGGUCAGCACAGUGAGCCCAUUUUAUACUCAUGUUCCCAACAUUCUCAUCAAUCUGUCUCCUUACACCAGGACACAAGGUGGACAUUCCCAAGGAACAUGUGACUGCAGCUCUUCUUUCUGCAGACCUUGUGCAGUCUCCCUUUGGCUAGAAGGAGCACUGUUCUUUAGGGAAGCAGUUUGUGAAUACCUCUUAAGUUAGAGAAGCCCAGAAAGUCUGAAAAACAAGGUUCUGUGAGGGUUUUCCAUAUUUCCCUUAGCCCAGGACUGUCCUAGUUUUAAAACUAAGUCCCCUGUCUUAGGAAACCCCUCAGUCCCUAGCCAACCAGCAGAAAUGACCAGAAUUCUCUCUAGCCUCAUGAAAUAAUGGGAAUAAAUAAGAUUUUCAUAAUGAACUGCCAAGGGCCAGACAGGUGCAGGGCAGAGGAGGCUGGGAGCAGAGCUGCUUGGCCCUGCCGCCAUCUCAGGAGGAUGGUGCAUUCUGCAACUAUGUUUUCUUCAGGUUCAAGGUCGUUCCUCCCACCUGAUCCCAUCAGUUGAAGAUCUGUUAUGUGUAAAAUAGUGUGGCACUUAUUCAGGUUUGAAUCUAUCUCUAAUGGAUAGGAACCCCAAAUCCCUGCAUCUAAUGAGCAUUCAGUGGCGGAUCUGAAAGGAGCUGUCUGUUGAACACACCUCCCUCCUUCCUUCUUUGCUGUCUUUUCCUUCCUUUCUCCCUUCCACUCACUAUCUGUUCCAGAUACUGUGGUAAAUGAUAGGGAUUAAACUGAAAUUGCUUCUGUCUUGAGAAGAUUAAGUUAAAAACACUGCCUUUUGUACCUGAGGUCCAAAUUUUGAAGGAAAAAAAAUGCCCAUGAGUUGCAGUGUUUUUUCUUUCAAAAUGAAAAUGUCUUUAUUCAAGCUCCCUGGGAAGAGUUCCACUCCCACCCUUGUUGAAUGAAGCUUGCCACUGAGCAAGCCCUUUAGCCACCAGCCUCUCAACAGUCCACAUGUCUAACAUGGGAAGAGCUAACACUCACAUAGUGCUUCCUGGUGUGCCAGGCUUGGUUCUAAGAACAUUAGAGAUUAUAUUGUGUGUGUUUUUUUUUAAUCAGAAAGUUUGCUAUAUAUGGAGAAACCAAGGCAUGGAGAGGUUAGUGUCCAAAGCUGGCAUUAUCCAUCCAUCCAGGUAUGUACCUAUCACCACAUUCAUCCAUCUAAUCAUCCAUCCAUCCAUCAACACAUCCUUCUAUUCACCUAUUCAUCCAUCCAUCCAUUCACCCAUUCAUCCAUCCGUCCACCCACCCAUCUAUCCAUUCACACAUCCAUCCAUCCACCCACCCAUCCAUCCAUUCAUACAUCCAUCCACCCACCCAUCCAUCCAUUCACCCAUCCAUCCAUUCACCCAUUCAUGCAUCCAUGUAGAAGCAUAUACAAACACAGAUGUUUCUCAUGCACACGUGUCCCAAUACACCCUUAGGACAAGUAUAAAAUAUCCUAAAUCAAAAAUGCACUUACUACAUAACCUACAGAACACCCCAGCUGAGCAGCAUAGUGCACGUGGGGUGUCAUUUGUUGGCCCCUCAUGAUGGCAGGGCUGACUGGGAGCUGCUGCUCACGGUUGCUGCCCGGCAUCCAGAGUAUUGGAAUGUAUAUUGCUAUUCUGGGAAAAGAUCCAAAUUCAGAAUUUGGAAGAAUCUUUUCUGCUGAGUGUGUAUCAUGUUCACACUGUUGUAAGUGGAAAUGCUGUGAAUUGAAGCCCCCGAAGUCCAGGACCACCGUGUGCGUGUGUAUGCAGUUCAGACUCAGGCUUGGGCCGCAGCCUCUCUCCUCCAGCGUCUGCAGUGUGCUUCUGUUUAUUGAUGUACAUUUUACUCUUGUCCUGAAAGUAGAUCAGGGGCAAUAUCAUGAGGCAGGAGGGGUUGUUGGGGACUGCAGACACGGUUCGCUGGGCAAUUUUCCCUCUUCCAGGAAAACCAGAAUCAUAUUACACAGGGAUAAGAGGGCGAAAGCAGCUCUUUUAAUAGCUGUGAGAGCAGACAUCACACAGGGCCUCUCUUGGCCUGAUUGUAAUCGAGCUAUCCUCCCCAGGGCUUUCCAGAAUCAUAAUUACUAUCACAUAGGGCCUUUUGUCAGCUUUUCAUCACUGUGACCAUAGUACCUGGAUAUAGCAACUUGAAGCAGGAGAGUUAUUUUGGCUCGUGGUUUCAGUCUACGCUCCACCAACUCUAUUGCUCUGGGCGUAAGGUGAGCAGAGCUUCAUGAGUGUGGAGGAAGCUGCUCAGCUCAUGGCAGUGGGGAGUGGCUCAGGGAGGAGGAAAAGCGUAGGAGAAGGGGCUGGAGAAGGGGAGCCUUCUGGGGUGCUCCCCAUGGCUGGCUUCCUGCAGAGAGGCCCCCCCUCCCAUCCCAGACAGGCAGUGCACUUUGAUCCUGUCCUGGGCCAAACCUUGUUGUCCCUCCUAACACCAUGUGUGGUCUGAAACCGGGUUGGGUGGAUAUGUGAUGUCAACUGUGGCACACUAACAAAUUACCUGGGGCAUUUUAGGGCAAGGUUGCUCAUCUUCCAUGUGGAGAAGCCCCCGUGGGCUAGUGAAACUGGAUUUCUAUCACCCCAGGGUGAGAGAGGGCUAGUUUUCCUAGAGAUGUGGACAGACAGAAAAUCUCUUUUCUUAAGGUCCCUACCUCCAGCCCCUCACCUGGUUUCAUAAGGAGGCUCCAAGCUGAGGCAAGAGCAGCACAGAGCUGCAAAAGAGCCUGGGCACACCAUCCUGCCUGCAGCCUGGGCACCCCACCUGUGGUUGCCUGGCCAGUCCUUCCAUUUGAAGAUCUCAGGUCGCUGGGGCUGCCCUGCCUGAGGCAACCCUGAAAGAUGCUGAGUGCCACCCACCCUGGUACAAGGCCACAGGAAGGUGCUGGCCAGGGGCACAGCCAGCCUUGGCUGCCUGGAGCUGCAGCUUGGAACAGGACAGACAGAAUGCCCCACGCCACUUCCUGGGCCUAUGCACAUUUUUUCUGCUCCAAAGGCUCACUGCCACGCCAUCUUCCCUCCCUGCCACAACCUCCUUGCUCCUGACCCAGAACAGGCCGAGAAUCCCUGAUGGGUGCUCUUAGUUUCCUGAGUGCUCUUAGUUUCCUGAACUUCUCGUUUGUUUCUCUCAUCAUGGUUGUAAUUGAAUGAUGACAUCUGAGUUUGUUUUGUGACUUUGUCCUCUGGAAUGAAGACUCUAUGGAGGAACUAGCUCAGGGUUAUUCACCAAUGAGUCCCUAGCCUACAGGCAUUUGGUUUGCUAAGUAAAUAAAUUUCUAAACUCAGUACUUCAUUUCUCAGCGAGACUCUUUACAAAUCCCGGAGAAGUGCAAGUGACAAAGGCAGCACUGGGAACCCUUUUGCUGUGACACCCCACACAGCUACCUCUUCCACCCUCAGAGUGAGGAGCAGCCCUUGGGUAAGAAAGCGACACUGACUGAAUCAAUUGGGUCACUCCACGGGAGUUUGGGCUGACUAAAUAGACACAGACAUAGAAAGUACCUUUUUCUUUCGGUUCAGUGACCAUUCCUCAGCCACAGCUCCCACAAGGGGGGCAAGGCAAGCAAGAAAGAGGGAGCACGCCUCGAACCCAGGUUUUACUAAUGGGGGAAGCUAAUCUAUGGAACAUUCCAUCCAAAAAAGGGCACAGGGGUAGGAUUACAACAGAGGGGAGGGUGUCACUCAACCCAAUCAGGUGACGCCCACUCCCUGAGCUGCAUCUUCUUAUCCAAGCAGAGGUAAAGUUCACCUGUAGUGCAAUGGCUGCGAUACCAGUCCAGUAUCUCUUUACUCAGGACUUAACAGUGUGUCCACAGCUCCUGUCCAGAGUGGCUCCUGACAAGGUAUGGCUGGUUCUUACCUGCCCAUGCUUCUCCCCUGCAGAACACAUACUCAAUGCAUGUAACAGUUAUUUAAUGAUACAAUAAAAUCUGCCCAGAAUCAAUACAGAGAGCACUCACAUCCAUCAGAUGGCUACUGUCAAGACUAACAACAGAAACAGAAAAUAAGUACUAAUGAGGAUGUGGAGAAAUCAGGACCCUGCGCUCUCAUAGGAUCCUCGUGAGCUCUAUAUGCGGGAGGUGAGCUGGCGCGGCUUAUAUCCUGUUAGUAUGCAAGAUCUCCUUCCUCUCCAGGUCUGCUCUUACAAAUUGUUAAAAAAAUAAAAAUAAAAACAGUUGUUUUUCCCUGCGUGGUUGUCCACAGUCUGGGAUUUGGUGACCCACACACCAAGGCUGUGAGGGAAUCAACACAUUAUAAAAUCAUACUCUAAUCCUAGUGGGAAUUCCAGGAAGGAGACUGAGAGUGGGGGAAGGAACCAAGAGAAGAUGGCCCAAGAACCCCGGUUGCAGAUAUGGCAACAGAGUGGCAGGGGGCUUGGGUUCACAGGGUGCCUCAGGUUGCUAGAAAAACACAGGUGAGCCACAGAGAACAUUUUUAGCAUGAGUAUGUCCCAUUUAAUAUUUGGGAUGUACUAAAUAAUUAUUCAUGGUUGGUCUAAAAUUCAAAUUAACUAAGAGUGUUUUGUUGGCUAAAGGCAGCAGCCCUAAGGGUGCUCGUCACCUCUUCCGUCCAACUUCCCAGCUGGUACCAUGAGGAAAUUGAGCCACAGAGCACCCAAGGGCUCCUUGAGUCUCAGAUUCUGUGUUUGAGAUGCAAUUAGGAGAAGGGAAAGCAACACCUAAGAACAUCAGAAAGAAAAAGGGGGAAAGAAUGGUCAUAGGUAAUGGGAAACUUGGCUAUCAUCUCCACGGUUGGAACUGACCGGGAGGAUGGCUGAAUUCUUCUCUUUCCAGGUAGUAAUGCGAGUAUGUGCAGAGCUAGCUUCAAGUUGAAAGGCAAGGUCAGCAUGGAAUUCUGCAGGGGAUUCUGGAGCUUCCUGGCUUGCCAUAGCAAUGCAGCUGCAUUUGGAAUGGCAGCUGCAAUGGGUGGGUGUGAGGUGGUGCAUCAGAUGGUGGGUCUGAAGCCCCUGGGUCCAGAAUUUCUGGGCUGUUCCUGUGUCCUCUGGAUUGCAGCAUCUGAGCAUCUGCAGACUGGACAGGGAUAAAAAUGACGUCAACAAUGCUCAUGACCUUGAAGCCUGGAGUCCCUUUUAGAAGACUGAAAACUAAUCUACCUCAUGGCCGCCUACUAUAAUUAAAAAACAACUUAUAAUUAA